AGUUUUUAAUUUCUUUCCGGAGGUAUUGUAUUUAGGUAUUAAAAGAAAAUGGUGCGAAAUCGUAAGAGGAAGACGGAUUACGGUCUUCAUAGUGAAAAAGAUAUGGCAGAAGCGAUUAUGAUGGUUGAAAGUGGCGUGAGUCUUCGAAAGUGGCGUGAGUCUUCGAAAAGCAGCAAAUGCAAAGCAAGUCAGACAGAUGUCUAUAAGUUCCCAAAGGAUAUUUUAAAGAAAUUUAAUAUUUGUUAGAACUUUUUCUUUUAUUGUUAGUUUUUCUAUUACUGUUUUAAAUGUUGUAACAUUGAGCCCCUGACUCUGUAACAGACUACCCCAGAUACGGGGCUAAGUGUUACAAUCGACUGAUUUAAUUAAUGUGCAAUUUAAAUUAAGUAGUUGCUAAUAAUGUUAAUGUUUGAGUUAUUUUAAUUAAAGAGAGAUUGUUAAAGUUUAUUUCCUUGCCAAAAAUAUGCUGAUUAAUACAAUAUUGUU
Melitaea cinxia (Glanville fritillary) is the source of this 486-nucleotide long non-coding RNA. RefSeq lists it as uncharacterized. The record is from RefSeq and is a predicted model, not a curated record. Lineage: Eukaryota; Metazoa; Arthropoda; Insecta; Lepidoptera; Nymphalidae. The transcript is spliced from 2 exons.